UGAGUACCUUCCAUUUAAUUAAAUGGAAGCAUGACGUGCAUAGUGGAAAACAUCCGACCGAAUGAUCGUGACAUCAGCAAAAUAAUCCUUCUACUGAAACCAAAGCAAUAUAUAAAAUUAGGAAUUUCAAAAUGAAUUUUCAGAUUUAAAACUGUAUCAUUAGUGCGUGAUAAAAACAAGUUUCGUAAAAUCGAGCUGUUACAAAUAAAUAUACUUUUACAUGUCGCAGAGAACUUAAGAGAUUAUUUCGAUUACCAUUGGCCAUUAUGAGGUGCAUUUGGUUUAUGUUGCUUGCAGAAGUUAUGAGCGUAGUUGAUUCAUAUCGACCGCUUACCAACGGGGGCAGUUAUGAAGUAUCUUCGUUUUCCAAGAAUGCUAAAUCAAAGGCAAGGAAAUUAAGAGAGGAAGCUUUAUAGUUGAACUAAAACGAGUUGAUCAAGCUACAGGGUGGGAUUGGAUGCCGAUAACUGUGGAUUGGUCCUCGUAUAUAGGUAACGGAAUGGUUUAUCAGAAUAUGAUCAUUUGGUUCCCUGAUGCUGCAGAUGAAAGAACGAUAGAGAAGUCUCGCAUUUUGAUAAACAAAUUACGAAAAGUUGCCGAAAUCGCGUAUUCUUGAAGCGCAAUCUGACUGGAUUGCAAGGUCUGUGCGAGUGAGAGAAUAUGACGAGCUACGAUUGGACGGAGGCUCAAGGAGGAGCGAGUUUCUCCUCAAGAGUGGGAGAAAUAUGCUCGAGGAUGUAGACAGGGUUGAAUAAAAUGAGAAACGCCAUCAGCUGGUCUAGCGCUUAUAACACAGUGUUCUAACUUUGUAAUAAUGCUAAUGAUUUGUAACAAAGAGUUUUACAUUAAGCGCUGCACGCCUGCCGGUUCAAUCGUUUCUGUUUCCA
This is a non-coding RNA of Ciona intestinalis (vase tunicate), 887 nucleotides long. Lineage: Eukaryota; Metazoa; Chordata; Ascidiacea; Phlebobranchia; Cionidae. The record is from RefSeq and is a predicted model, not a curated record.